GAUGAACGCUGACAGAAUGCUUAACACAUGCAAGUCUUUGGUGAAGCUGUGCUUGCACAGCCUAGCCAAGGCGGACGGGUGAGUAACGCGUAAGGAACUUGCCCUGCAGUCAGGGAUAACAGACGGAAACGACUGAUAAGACCUGGUAAAGUCAGGCGGACUCAUGUCCAGCCUGAUGAAAAGAGAUGCUGCAGGAGAGCCUUGCGUCCUAUUAGCUUGUUGGUGGGGUAACGGCCCACCAAAGCAAUGAUAGGUAGCCGGCCUGAGAGGGUGGACGGCCACAAGGGGACUGAGAUACGGCCCUUACUCCUACGGGAGGCAGCAGUGGGGAAUAUUGGACAAUGGGGGCAACCCUGAUCCAGCAAUUCUGUGUGCACGAUGAAGGUUUUCGGAUUGUAAAGUGCUUUCAGCAGGGAAGAAAAAAAUGACGGUACCUGCAGAAGAAGCGACGGCUAAAUACGUG
RNAcentral lists this ribosomal RNA (463 nucleotides) under uncultured bacterium. RNAcentral's name for it is "partial 16S ribosomal RNA". It matches the Rfam family "Bacterial small subunit ribosomal RNA", at positions 28 to 507 of the family's 1533-position model. The record is from RNAcentral.